GACAGAGGUGCCAAGCGUUAGGCGGAAUCACUGGGCUUAAAGCGUGUGUAGGCGGAUCGUUAAGUACCUUGUGAAAUCCCACGGCUCACCCGUGGAACUGCUCGGUAUACUGGCGGUCUUGAGCCACUUAGGGGCUGUCGGAACAGACGGUGGAGCGGUGAAAUGCGUAGAUAUCGAGAGGAACACCUGCGGCGAAGGCGGGUUGCUGGGCUGAUACUGACGCUGAGGCGCGAAAGCCAGGGGAGCGAACGGG
This 253-nucleotide ribosomal RNA is filed under the name uncultured bacterium. Its description in RNAcentral is "partial 16S ribosomal RNA". It matches the Rfam family "Bacterial small subunit ribosomal RNA", at positions 524 to 776 of the family's 1533-position model. The record is from RNAcentral.